RNAcentral lists this ribosomal RNA (1712 nucleotides) under Myolaimus byersi. Its description in RNAcentral is "SSU rRNA". It matches the Rfam family "Eukaryotic small subunit ribosomal RNA". Lineage: Eukaryota; Metazoa; Nematoda; Chromadorea; Rhabditida; Myolaimidae. The record is from RNAcentral.
AUGCAUGUCUCAGUACAAACCACUUGUUGGUGAAACCGCGAACGGCUCAUUAUAACAGCUAUAAUUUAUUUGAUUUUGAUAUCCUACAUGGAUAACUGAGGAAAAUCUUGAGCUAAUACAUGCACCAAAGCUCCGACUAACGACGAGCGCAUUUAUUAGAUCAAAACCAAACGGGCUUGCCCGGGUUUUGGUGACUCUGAAUAACUCUGCUGAUCGCAUGGUCUAGUACCGGCGACGGUUCUUUCAAGUUUCUGCCUUAUCAACUUUCGAUGGUAGUUUAUGUGACUACCAUGGUGACCACGGGUAACGGAGGAUAAGGGUUUGACUCCGGAGAGGGAGCCUGAGAAACGGCUACCACAUCCAAGGAAGGCAGCAGGCGCGCAAAUUAUCCACUCUCGGUACGAGGAGAUAGUGACGAAAAAUAACGAGAAUGUCUUCUAUGAGGCCAUUCAUCGGAAUGAGUACAAUUCAAAUCCUUUAACGAGGAUCUAUGAGAGGGCAAGUCUGGUGCCAGCAGCCGCGGUAAUUCCAGCUCUCAAAGUGUAUAUCGUUAUUGCUGCGGUUAAAAAGCUCGUAGUUGGAUCUGCGCUUCUGGACUCGGUCCACCCUCCGGGUGCGUACUGGGCUCCAAAGCCUACACUGUCGGACUGCCCUUGCUAGCUUUACUGUUGGCAUUGGUGUCUGACAAGUUUACUUUGAAAAAAUUAGAGUGCUCAAAACAGGCGUUUGCUUGAAUAUUUCUGCAUGGAAUAAUAGAAAAGGACCGACGUUCUAUUUCGUUGGUUUUCUGAAUGGCGGUAAUGGUUAAGAGGAACAGACGGGGGCAUUCGUAUUGCUACGUGAGAGGUGAAAUUCUUGGACCGUAGCAGGACGCCCUACUGCGAAGGCAUUUGCCAAGAAUGUUUUCAUUAAUCAAGAACGAAAGUCAGAGGUUCGAAGGCGAUCAGAUACCGCCCUAGUUCUGACCGUAAACGAUGCCAACUAGCGAUCCGCCAGCGGUAACUACGCCCUGGCGGGGAGCUUCCCGGAAACGAAAGUCUUCCGGUUCCGGGGGAAGUAUGGUUGCAAAGCUGAAACUUAAAGGAAUUGACGGAAGGGCACCACCAGGAGUGGAGCCUGCGGCUUAAUUUGACUCAACACGGGAAAACUCACCCGGCCCGGACACUGUAAGGAUUGACAGAUUGAAAGCUCUUUCUUGAUUCGGUGGUUGGUGGUGCAUGGCCGUUCUUAGUUGGUGGAGUGAUUUGUCUGGUUUAUUCCGAUAACGAGCGAGACUCUAGCUUAUUAAAUAGAUGCCGGAUAAUUUUGUCGGGACAGACUUCUUAGAAGGAUAAGCGGUGUUUAGCCGCACGAGAUUGAGCAAUAACAGGUCUGUGAUGCCCUUAGAUGUCCGGGGCUGCACGCGCGCUACAUUGGAAGAAUCAGCGUGUCUAUCCUAAUCUGAAAGGAUUUGGUAAACCCUUGAAAAUCUUUCGUAAUUGGGAUAGGGAAUUGUAAUUAUUUCCCUUGAACGAGGAAUUCCUAGUAAGUGUGWAUCAUCAGCUCACGUUGAUUACGUCCCUGCCCUUUGUACACACCGCCCGUCGCUGCCCGGAACUGAGCCGUUUCGAGAAACGCGGGGACUGCUGAUUUGAGACGUUAAACUCUCGUUUUGGUGGAAACCGCCUUAAUCGCAAUGGCUUGAACCGGGCAAAAGUCGUAACAAGGUGCGA